CAGUAGAUCAGAGGCAGAGCCAGC
Molecule: non-coding RNA, 24 nt
Filed under: Cricetulus griseus (Chinese hamster)
Lineage: Eukaryota; Metazoa; Chordata; Mammalia; Rodentia; Cricetidae
Source: RNAcentral